AGUGAACGCUGGCGGUAGGCCUAACACAUGCAAGUCGAACGGCAGCACAGUAAGAGCUUGCUCUUACGGGUGGCGAGUGGCGGACGGGUGAGGAAUACAUCGGAAUCUACUUUUUCGUGGGGGAUAACGUAGGGAAACUUACGCUAAUACCGCAUACGACCUACGGGUGAAAGCAGGGGAUCUUCGGACCUUGCGCGAUUGAAUGAGCCGAUGUCGGAUUAGCUAGUUGGCGGGGUAAAGGCCCACCAAGGCGACGAUCCGUAGCUGGUCUGAGAGGAUGAUCAGCCACACUGGAACUGAGACACGGUCCAGACUCCUACAGGAGGCAGCAGUGGGGAAUAUUGGACAAUGGGGGCAAGCCUGAUCCAGCCAUACCGCGUGGGUGAAGAAGGCCUUCGGGUUGUAAAGCCCUUUUGUUGGGAAAGAAAAGCAGCAGGUUAAUACCCCGCUGUUCUGACGGUACCCAAAGAAUAAGCACCGGCUAACUUCGUG
This 492-nucleotide ribosomal RNA is filed under the name uncultured bacterium. RNAcentral's name for it is "partial 16S ribosomal RNA". It matches the Rfam family "Bacterial small subunit ribosomal RNA", at positions 29 to 507 of the family's 1533-position model. The record is from RNAcentral.